CGUAGGUGAACCUGCGGAGGGAUCAUUAAAGAGUUAUACAACUCCCACACCCAUGUGAACGUACUUCCGUUGCCUCGGCGGGUCGCAGCCUACCCUGUAAGGACCUACCCUGUAGGGCCCUACCCUGUAGGCCGCGGUGAAGCCCGCCGGCGGCCCACGAAACUCUGUUUAUACUGUAUCUCUGAAAAAAUAACUAAAUAAGUUAAAACUUUCAACAACGGAUCUCUUGGUUCUGGCAUCGAUGAAGAACGCAGCGAAAUGCGAUAAGUAAUGUGAAUUGCAGAAUUCAGUGAAUCAUCGAAUCUUUGAACGCACAUUGCGCCCAUUAGUAUUCUAGUGGGCAUGCCUGUUCGAGCGUCAUUUCAACCCUCAAGCCCCUGUUGCUUGGUAUUGGGAGCCUACAGCCCGCUGUAGCUCCCCAAAGUUAGUGGUGGAGUCGGCUUACACUCUAGACGUAGUAAUUCAUUAUCUCGCCUAUAGAUGAGCCGGUCCCCUGCCGUAAAACCCCCAAUUUCUAAAGGUUGACCUCGGAUCAGGUAGGAAUACCCGCUGAACUUAAGCAUAUCAAUAAGCGGAGGA
Molecule: ribosomal RNA, 579 nt
Filed under: Xylaria sp. TI070903
Lineage: Eukaryota; Fungi; Ascomycota; Sordariomycetes; Xylariales; Xylariaceae
Description: eukaryotic LSU rRNA
Rfam family: 5.8S ribosomal RNA (bases 207-360)
Source: RNAcentral